GACGAACGCUGGCGGCGUGCUUAACACAUGCAAGUCGAACGAUGAAGCCGGAGCUUGCUCCGGUGGAUUAGUGGCGAACGGGUGAGUAACACGUGAGCAAUCUGCCCUUGACUCUGGGAUAACUGCGGGAAACUGUAGCUAAUACCGGAUACGACACCUUGGGGCAUCCUAGGGUGUGGAAAGAAUUUCGGUCAAGGAUGAGCUCGCGGCCUAUCAGCUAGUCGGUGAGGUAAUGGCUCACCAAGGCGACGACGGGUAGCCGGCAUGAGAGGGUAACCGGCCACACUGGAACUGAGACACGAUCCAGACUCCUACGGGAGGCAGCAGUGAGGAAUAUUGCACAAUGGGCGAAAGCCUGAUGCAGCAACGCCGCGAGGGAUGAAGGCCUUCGGGUUGUAAACCUCUUUUAGCAGGGAAGAAGCGAAAGGAACGGUACCUGCAGAAAAAGCACCGGCUAACUACGUGCCAGCCGCCGCCGUAA
Molecule: ribosomal RNA, 481 nt
Filed under: uncultured bacterium
Lineage: Bacteria
Description: partial 16S ribosomal RNA
Rfam family: Bacterial small subunit ribosomal RNA
Source: RNAcentral